GCCACAGCCAUAUCACCCUGCAGCCCAAGACUGGUUGCCCACUGAAGCUAAGCAGGGCUGAGCCUGGUCAGUACCUGGAUGGGAGACCUCUUGGGAAAACUAGGUUGCUGCUGGAA
Sinocyclocheilus anshuiensis is the source of this 116-nucleotide ribosomal RNA. The record is from Ensembl. NCBI's taxonomy places the organism in Eukaryota, Metazoa, Chordata, Actinopteri, Cypriniformes, Cyprinidae.